CUUCCUACAGAAUGGUUUCAACCAUGUGAGCCCCAGCCAUUCAGGAAUGUUUGGAAAAGACUGUCCAAGUUGCCCUACAAGACAGAGGACCUGGCCCAGCAGAUUCUGAUCACCAUCCCACGAGACCGCAUCUCGGCCCAGGAUGCACUGCAGCACCCCUAUUUCAACACGCUACCGCCCCCCAUCAUGCAGCUACGAGACAUCUACCCAUCCGACGCAUGAUUAAAGACACGAGCUUCCUACUGUGAGCACAGAUGGCUCCUUUGAAGAGAUCAGACUGUCUCCACAGCUCUCGGGUGGCUAAACAGAUAUACAUCAGGAAAGUGGAUGUAUAAGUAAGCAAAGUUGCAUUUGAAGUCUCUCUCCACCUGUCUGUCUAUCGCGCUGAUAGUCUGCCUGGUUCGGUUUGAACAUAGAUGUGUUUUUCCAGGCCGUAGAAAUAAUAUUCAGUGAACAGAAGAAGAGUACAGGGAGUACUAGGAUAGAUAUUAGUGAAAUGGAGGAAUGUAUUAGAUAGGAACAACACCUCAGGG
Non-coding RNA from Salvelinus sp. IW2-2015, 533 nucleotides. NCBI's taxonomy places the organism in Eukaryota, Metazoa, Chordata, Actinopteri, Salmoniformes, Salmonidae. The record is from RefSeq and is a predicted model, not a curated record.